RNAcentral lists this transfer RNA (77 nucleotides) under Clostridiales bacterium. RNAcentral describes it as "tRNA-Leu". It matches the Rfam family "tRNA". From Rfam's summary of the family: Transfer RNA (tRNA) molecules are approximately 80 nucleotides in length. Their secondary structure includes four short double-helical elements and three loops (D, anti-codon, and T loops). The record is from RNAcentral. Lineage: Bacteria; Bacillati; Bacillota; Clostridia; Eubacteriales.
GUCCCUCUAUUCCAAUCGGCAGAGAAAGCACGCUUAGAACGUGUACAGUCAGGGUUCGAAUCCCUGGAGGGACACCA